GACGAACGCUGGCGGCGUGCUUAACACAUGCAAGUCGAGCGGUAAGGCCCUUUCGGGGGUACGACGAGCGGCGAACGGGUGAGUAACACGUGGGUGACCUGCCCUCAGCUCUGGGAUAAGCCUGGGAAACCGGGUCUAAUACUGGAUAUGACUCCAUGACGCAUGUUGUGGGGUGGAAAGCCUUGUGCGGCUGAGGAUGGGCCCGCGGCCUAUCAGCUUGUUGGUGGGGUGAGGCCUACCAAGGCGACGACGGGUAGCCGGCCUGAGAGGGCGACCGGCCACACUGGGGCUGAGACACGGCCCAGACUCCUACGGGAGGCAGCAGUGGGGAAUCUUGCGCAAUGGGCGAAAGCCUGACGCAGCGACGCCGCGUGAGGGAUGACGGCCUGG
RNAcentral lists this ribosomal RNA (390 nucleotides) under uncultured bacterium. Its description in RNAcentral is "bacterial SSU rRNA". It matches the Rfam family "Bacterial small subunit ribosomal RNA", at positions 28 to 419 of the family's 1533-position model. The record is from RNAcentral.